Molecule: ribosomal RNA, 253 nt
Filed under: uncultured bacterium
Lineage: Bacteria
Description: partial 16S ribosomal RNA
Rfam family: Bacterial small subunit ribosomal RNA
Source: RNAcentral
UACAGAGGGGGCAAGCGUUAUUCGGAAUUAUUGGGCGUAAAGGGCGCGUAGGCGGCUUGGCAAGUGGAUGGUGAAAUCCCUCGGCUUAACCGAGGAGCUGCCGUCCAAACUGCUUCGCUUGAGACCGGGAGAGGUGAGUGGAAUUCCCAGUGUAGCGGUGAAAUGCGUAGAUAUUGGGAGGAACACCAGUGGCGAAGGCGGCUCACUGGACCGGUACUGACGCUGAGGCGCGAAAGCGUGGGGAGCAAACGGG